This is a long non-coding RNA of Mustela lutreola (European mink), 394 nucleotides long. RefSeq lists it as uncharacterized. The record is from RefSeq and is a predicted model, not a curated record. The transcript has 3 exons. NCBI's taxonomy places the organism in Eukaryota, Metazoa, Chordata, Mammalia, Carnivora, Mustelidae.
UCCGGCCUCCAGCGGCAAGGUCAGUGCCGGCCCGGAGGAGGCGUCCCGAGAGGGGACUCCGCGGCAGCUCGCGGCUCUUGUCGCCCGCCCGCCGAAGCGAAGCGUCCUGCCACCCGCACCUGCCUGGAGAGGUAAAUUCAGAAAUACAAUUCAGUUCAUCCUGUGGUGGAUACAAAGACAAACUUAUUUUGUUUUUACCAUCAUGAAACUUAACAAUAUGGAAUAUAAAGUGUACAAUGUAAUGAUUAAACAGUUCCAGACUUCACCCAAUGCUCAUCACGACAAGUGCACUCCUUAAUCCCCAUCACCUAUUUCACCUAUCCCUCCAGUCCCCACCCCCUCUGGUAACCAACAUUUUGUUUUCUAUAGAUAAAAGUCUGUAUUUUGGUUUGUC